This 597-nucleotide long non-coding RNA is filed under the name Macaca mulatta (Rhesus monkey). RNAcentral's name for it is "lncRNA (ENSMMUG00000037824.2)". The record is from RNAcentral. Lineage: Eukaryota; Metazoa; Chordata; Mammalia; Primates; Cercopithecidae.
GGCUGAAGGAGGUAUGUUUGUACCUUGGAAAUUUAAAAUGCUGUUAUGUAGUUAUCUUCAUCAGAUUAUCUGAGGGAAAUUGUCAAAUGAAUAGAAAUACCAUUUUAGAAUUUAGACAUGGUCAUUGAAAUUUUUGUUGUUGUUUUUUUUUUUUUAGUAAACCUCAAGGUAUUGUUUAAAACCAGUGUGUCUAUGUCAAAUAGAUGACAGAUAGGGGAUCAUGUUGUAAGCAUAACAUUCCAGCUCUGUGUUGACACUAUUGAGAAUAAACCACAAAUGGCUCAACAGGGGUGAACUGUUCUAGAUGACCAAAAGGCAAGCAUUUUAUGGAAGGCAGUGGUAGAAUAUUUCAGUUCAGUGGUGAGAGUACAAUGAGAAGGGAGAGCUGCUGUUUAAGAAGAAUAAUGUAUUGGAAAUGUUAACGAUACUGCAUGGAUGAAACAAAAGAUUGUGUUUAGAAGCAGAUUUGUAGGAGGUGACACUUAUUUUGGGAACUGUUCUGAUGAAAGGAAGUAUCUUGAAAUCUACAGAAAAAAAGCUGGACACAGGAAAUAUCUAAAGCUUCAACUUAUGCUAAGCUGCUACAAAACUCCUUAG